UGGGGAAUAUUGGACAAUGGGCGCAAGCCUGAUCCAGCAAUGCCGCGUGAGUGAUGAAGGCCUUAGGGUUGUAAAGCUCUUUCGCACGCGACGAUGAUGACGGUAGCGUGAGAAGAAGCCCCGGCUAACUUCGUGCCAGCAGCCGCGGUAAUACGAAGGGGGCUAGCGUUGUUCGGAAUUACUGGGCGUAAAGGGCGCGUAGGCGGCCUGUUUAGUCAGAAGUGAAAGCCCCGGGCUCAACCUGGGAAUAGCUUUUGAUACUGGCAGGCUUGAGUUCCGGAGAGGAUGGUGGAAUUCCCAGUGUAGAGGUGAAAUUCGUAGAUAUUGGGAAGACACCGGUGGCGAAGGCGGCCAUCUGGACGGACACUGACGCUGAGGCGCGAAAGCGUGGGGAGCAAACAGAUUAGAUACCCUGGUAGUCCACGCCGUAAACGNUGAAUGCUNGACGUCGGGUUGCAUNCACUUCGGUGUCGCCGCUAACGCAUUAAGC
RNAcentral lists this ribosomal RNA (490 nucleotides) under uncultured bacterium. RNAcentral's name for it is "partial 16S ribosomal RNA". It matches the Rfam family "Bacterial small subunit ribosomal RNA", at positions 355 to 865 of the family's 1533-position model. The record is from RNAcentral.